GACGAACGCUGGCGGCGUGCUUAACACAUGCAAGUCGAACGGAAAGGCCCUGCUUUUGUGGGGUGCUCGAGUGGCGAACGGGUGAGUAACACGUGAGUAACCUGCCCUUGACUUUGGGAUAGCUUCAGGAAACUGGGGCUAAUACCGGAUAGGAGCUCCUGCUGCAUGGUGGGGGUUGGAAAGUUUCGGCGGUUGGGGAUGGACUCGCGGCUUAUCAGCUUGUUGGUGGGGUAGUGGCUUACCAAGGCUUUGACGGGUAGCCGGCCUGAGAGGGUGACCGGCCACAUUGGGACUGAGAUACGGCCCAGACUCCUACGGGAGGCAGCAGUGGGGAAUAUUGCACAAUGGGCGGAAGCCUGAUGCAGCAACGCCGCGUGCGGGAUGACGGCCUUCGGGUUGUAAACCGCUUUCGCCUGUGACGAAGCGUGAGUGACGGUAAUGGGUAAAGAAGCACCGGCUAACUACGUGCCAGCAGCCGCGGUGAUACGUAGGGUGCGAGCGUUGUCCGGAUUUAUUGGGCGUAAAGGGCUCGUAGGUGGUUGAUCGCGUCGGAAGUGUAAUCUUGGGGCUUAACCCUGAGCGUGCUUUCGAUACGGGUUGACUUGAGGAAGGUAGGGGAGAAUGGAAUUCCUGGUGGAGCGGUGGAAUGCGCAGAUAUCAGGAGGAACACCAGUGGCGAAGGCGGUUCUCUGGGCCUUUCCUGACGCUGAGGAGCGAAAGCGUGGGGAGCGAACAGGCUUAGAUACCCUGGUAGUCCACGCUGUAAACGGUGGGUACUAGGUGUGGGGUCCAUUCCACGGGUUCCGUGCCGUAGCUAACGCUUUAAGUACCCCGCCUGGGGAGUACGGCCGCAAGGCUAAAACUCAAAGGAAUUGACGGGGCCCCGCACAAGCGGCGGAGCAUGCGGAUUAAUUCGAUGCAACGCGUAGAACCUUACCUGGGUUUGACAUGGAUCGGGAGUGCUCAGAGAUGGGUGUGCCUCUUUUGGGGUCGGUUCACAGGUGGUGCAUGGCUGUCGUCAGCUCGUGUCGUGAGAUGUUGGGUUAAGUCCCGCAACGAGCGCAACCCUUGUUCACUGUUGCCAGCACGUUAUGGUGGGGACUCAGUGGAGACCGCCGGGGUCAACUCGGAGGAAGGUGGGGAUGACGUCAAGUCAUCAUGCCCCUUAUGUCCAGGGCUUCACGCAUGCUACAAUGGCUGGUACAGAGAGUGGCGAGCCUGUGAGGGUGAGCGAAUCUCGGAAAGCCGGUCUCAGUUCGGAUUGGGGUCUGCAACUCGACCUCAUGAAGUCGGAGUCGCUAGUAAUCGCAGAUCAGCAACGCUGCGGUGAAUACGUUCCCGGG
RNAcentral lists this ribosomal RNA (1343 nucleotides) under uncultured bacterium. Its description in RNAcentral is "16S ribosomal RNA". It matches the Rfam family "Bacterial small subunit ribosomal RNA", at positions 28 to 1378 of the family's 1533-position model. The record is from RNAcentral.